This 253-nucleotide ribosomal RNA is filed under the name uncultured bacterium. RNAcentral describes it as "partial 16S ribosomal RNA". It matches the Rfam family "Bacterial small subunit ribosomal RNA", at positions 524 to 776 of the family's 1533-position model. The record is from RNAcentral.
UACGUAGGGUGCGAGCGUUAAUCGGAAUUACUGGGCGUAAAGCGUGCGCAGGCGGUUCGUUAUGUCCGUUGUGAAAGCCCCGGGCUCAACCUGGGAAUGGCAAUGGAAACUGGCGGGCUAGAGUGUGGCAGAGGGGGGUGGAAUUCCGCGUGUAGCAGUGAAAUGCGUAGAGAUGCGGAGGAACACAGAUGGCGAAGGCAGCCCCCUGGGCUAGCACUGACGCUCAGGCACGAAAGCGUGGGGAGCAAACAGG